AGUGAACGCUGGCGGUAGGCCUAACACAUGCAAGUCGAACGGCAGCACAGUAAGAGCUUGCUCUUACGGGUGGCGAGUGGCGGACGGGUGAGGAAUACAUCGGAAUCUACUUUUUCGUGGGGGAUAACGUAGGGAAACUUACGCUAAUACCGCAUACGACCUACGGGUGAAAGCAGGGGAUCUUCGGACCUUGCGCGAUUGAAUGAGCCGAUGUCGGAUUAGCUAGUUGGCGGGGUAAAGGCCCACCAAGGCGACGAUCCGUAGCUGGUCUGAGAGGAUGAUCAGCCACACUGGAACUGAGACACGGUCCAGACUCCUACGGGAGGCAGCAGUGGGGAAUAUUGGACAAUGGGCGCAAGCCUGAUCCAGCCAUACCGCGUGGGUGAAGAUGGCCUUCGGGUUGUAAAGCCCUUUUGUUGGGAAAGAAAAGCAGCAGGUUAAUACCCCGCUGUUCCGACGGUACCCAAAGAAUAAGCACCGGCUAACUUCGUG
This 492-nucleotide ribosomal RNA is filed under the name uncultured bacterium. RNAcentral's name for it is "partial 16S ribosomal RNA". It matches the Rfam family "Bacterial small subunit ribosomal RNA", at positions 29 to 507 of the family's 1533-position model. The record is from RNAcentral.